Molecule: ribosomal RNA, 292 nt
Filed under: uncultured bacterium
Lineage: Bacteria
Description: partial 16S ribosomal RNA
Rfam family: Bacterial small subunit ribosomal RNA
Source: RNAcentral
GGAUUAGAUACCCUGGUAGUCCACGCCCUAAACGAUGAGUGCUAGGUGUGGGAUUUUUUCUGUGCCGUAGCUAACGCGUUAAGCACUCCGCCUGAGGAGUACGGUCGCAAGACUAAAACUCAAACGGAAUUGACGGGGACCCGCACAAGCGGUGGAGCAUCUGGUUUAAUUCGAUGAUAACCGACAAACCUUACCAACUCUUGACAUCAUAGCUUAAGCGACACUAGAGAUAGUGCGUGUGGAGCAAUCCUAUCUAUGACAGGUGGUGCAUGGCUGUCGUCAGCUCGUGCCG